Molecule: ribosomal RNA, 492 nt
Filed under: uncultured bacterium
Lineage: Bacteria
Description: partial 16S ribosomal RNA
Rfam family: Bacterial small subunit ribosomal RNA
Source: RNAcentral
AGUGAACGCUGGCGGUAGGCCUAACACAUGCAAGUCGAACGGCAGCACAGUAAGAGCUUGCUCUUACGGGUGGCGAGUGGCGUACGGGUGAGGAAUACAUCGGAAUCUACUUUUUCGUGGGGGAUCACGUAGGGAAACUUACGCUAAUACCGCAUACGACCUACGGGUGAAAGCAGGGGAUCUUCUGACCUUGCGCGAUUGAAUGAGCCGCUGUCGGAUUAGCUAGUUGGCGGGGUAAAGGCCCACCAAGGCGACGAUCCGUAGCUGGUCUGAGAGAAUGAUCAGCCACACUGGAAGUGAGACACGGUCAAGAGUCCUACGGGAGGGAGCAGUGGGGAAUAUGGGACAAUGGGCGCAAGCCUGAUCCAACGAGACCGAGUGGGUGAAAAAGGCCUUCGGGUUGUAAAGCCCUUUUGUUGGGAAAGAAAAGCAGCAGGUUAAUACCCAGCUGUUCUGACGGUACCCAAAGAAUAAGCACCGGCUAACUUCGUG